RNAcentral lists this long non-coding RNA (6023 nucleotides) under Sus scrofa (pig). RNAcentral describes it as "lncRNA (ENSSSCG00040011576.1)". The record is from RNAcentral. Lineage: Eukaryota; Metazoa; Chordata; Mammalia; Artiodactyla; Suidae.
UUGUGGCUCAGCUGCAGUUGUAUCCAUGAGAAUGCAGGUUCAAUCCCUGGCCUUGCUCAGUGGGUAGAGGAUCUGCCAACACCAUAUCUAGUUGCUAAACAGAACGUCUCAUGGUGAUUGCUAAUACUUAUGGAACAUUUACUUUAUGCCAGAUGUCAUUUUAACAAUUUUACCUUUAAUCUACAUGGAGACUCUAUGAGGUAGAUACUAAUACUGUCAUUUUAUGGAUGAAAGAGUUGAGGAAUGGAGAAACCCAAAGCAAAUUCACCCAGGUUGGAGAAGGUAGAACCAGGACUGAACAUGGGUGGUUAGCCACUGGUACCUGUACUCUUAACCACCAUGUUAACAAUUCUUGGGAAAUCAGCUGCUCAGAUGAUAGAAUCUGGAUUUGGACUUCUUUUUUUUUUUUUUUUUUUUUUUUUUUUGUCUUUUUGCUAUUUCUUGGGCCGCUCCCACGGCAUAUGGAGAUUCCCAGGCUAGGGGUCUAAUCGUAGCCGUAGCCACCAGCCUACACCAGGGCCACAGCAACGCGUGAUCCGAGCCGAGUCUGCAACCUGCACUACAGCUCACGGCAACGCCGGAUCGUCAACCCACUGAGCAAGGGCAGGGACUGAACCCGCAACCUCAUGGUUCCUAGUCAGAUUCAUUAACCACUGCGCCACGACGGGAACUCCUGAAUUUGGACUUCUGAUGACUUCACAUCUCCAAGAACAACUAAUGAACUAUUAAUUUCAUGUAUUGAGAAACCAGAAUAAUUUUCCCCAAAGGGUACAUCUUAGAGUAGAAUGGAUUUAUCUACUGCCAGAAACCCAAGCUAUCCAGCAACCCCCAAAAGCCAGAUCAUUUCACAAAACAAACAAAUCCCAAUAAUCCUGCUCAGAGCUCAACUCUUGUUAGUAGUCGUGCCAUGAAUUUUGAUUGGGGUAGCUUCUCAAACUUGUUCUUAUAAAGAAGUUCAUACUUUUCACACUUGAAUAUGCAGCCAGUUGAACAUGGGUGUGGCCCUUCAUUGCAUGAGCAAAGGUUGAAAAUACCUGAACCAGCAGGAAUUUAAGGAGUGAGCCUUUUUUUGUUGUUGUUAUUUAGAGCAGCGGGUGAGAAUUUAUAGGCCAGCUGGUAAUAAUGUUGCCUAAAUGGUGGGCUAGUCCAGACCCAAAUCUUCAUCCAGGUUCAGAGAUGGGCAAUAAGAAUGACUUGAACAAUUUUAAGGUUACUUUGACCCAAUUAACAAACCUGCAAAUGAACAAUACAAGUGUGUGAAUGGAGAGGCCUCAGUAUCUCCUUUGUUCUUGAUGAAAGAGUACCCAAAGUCCAGAAGUCAACAUGGCAUGUUUCCAGUGAUGAAUCACCACAUAACUCCACCUCCUAGAGUCUUAUUAGCCUAGGAAAAAGGUCCUAUCAGCACGCAAGGGUUUAUUUUAUUAUUCACCUGAUAUAACUAUUUACUGAACACAUGUGCUAGGAGUUGUUCUAGGCACAUAGAAUACUUCAGCAAACAAAAGUCCUAGAUGUUGUUGAGCAUACUUUCUAGCAGUAGAAGCCAAUCAAUACAACUAAUAAGUAAAUUCUACAUUAUAUUAGAAGGUGGCUGCUAAGUGCUUUGGCAGAAAAAAUAGAGUGUAGAGAAAAAGAAGAGUUGGCAGGGAAGAGUUUCUGUUUUAAAUAUGGUGGUCAGGGUGGUAGAAUUAGUUUAAGUUGUGUGCAGUCUGUAGUUGCACAAGGUCCAUACUCAGAAGGGAUUGUACUGGGUUAGAUGCUUUGCUAACAUCAUCUUGAGAUUCUCAGUAAUUUUAUUUUUGAACUCAUGUUUUUGAAGUCUGAUGGGACAAUGCAGUAUGUAUAAGCAGAGAUGUGCACACUUUUCAUAUCUGGUAUGUCUGUUGAGAUUCUAAUUGAAACUGCAAUACAUUGGUAUUAAUUUGAGGAAAAUUCAGAAUUUUCUAUUAAGUUCUUUCCAUUCAAGAAGAUGGUAUGCUUUUCUAUCUGGUUUUAUGUCUUCCAAUGAUAUUUUAUAAAUCUUUUCUGUUUAGGGCCAGCACAUUUCUUUUGUAAUUUAUUUAAAUUCUGUUUUAAUUCAUAGCACUUUUUUGAGGGAGUGGGGGACAGUCAUUUUGAUUCAAGGCACAUCUUUUUUAUACUAAAAAUCAGAAUUUUUGGAGUUCCUAACAGCUCAGUGAGUUAAGGAUCCUGUGUUGUCACUGCAGUGGCUUGAGUCACUGUUGUGGAUGGGUUUGGUCCCUGGCCUAGGGACUUCUGCAUGCUGUGGACACAGCUCACUUCCUUCCCCCCCCCCCCCCCCAAAAAAAAAAAACCAGUAUUUUUGUCUUUUGACUUAAAAUCAUAGGAGAAGAGAGAAAGUUUUGGAGUAGGGAAAUAUACUACUAGAAACAAAAUAGUCUUUUUGUUUCCUGGCAUGUUGUUCCUGGCCAUCCUUUGCUUGCAAAUGUAUUCUCUUUGAGAUGCAUUGAAAUUUGAUAAAUAACUUCUUUCAGAGGAGAACAGAGGAAUCAGUGAGUCUCAAAGUUAGAGAAGUAGUGGGUAAGGAAAAGCCAUGAGAACAGACUGCUCUGUGUGGUUACUUACUGGGAUAGUCAUGGCUGUCAGCAAGACCAAAGGGAAGUAGCCAGAGAGGUCUGUGACCCCAUGGCCUCUUGUGUUGGUUCUACAUAUGUACCUUUGACACCAAUGGCCACUGAGAACUAAAUGUGAACAGCAGCACAAGCAGGGACCACAGGGGCUGAUGUGAUGUGUGGCCCAGGCCUGAUAAAUAUAAACCAAGGAAAAGGAAGCUCAUCCCAGAUCAAGAAGGCUGUAAAAUUUUAUUAUAAACCUCAAUGGACACAUUUAGUCAGCAGAAAUAUUUUCAGCAGCAGUGUAGAGUGUGCAGAUGCACAGAGAUGAAGCAGCUAGAUGAAAACGGGAAAAUCUGAAAAGCAGCAAUGGCAUCAGGGCAGAAAGAGGUGAACAUUCUAUGCUAACCUAACAAAUUAGCUGUGCACCAAAUGCACCACUUUAGUGGACACCCGCAGUCAUUUACUCUUAUGGAUGUAGUUUCUUACCAAUAAGGAAUUGAUAAAUGGCCAAUUCCUUGUAAACUUUCAUUUGCAGUAUUCAAGAGAGAUCUUCAUUCAGGUGUUAGAAGAGGGGAAAAAAAAAAAAAAAAAAAAGGAAUCUUUUGCAUCCAACUAAAGUUCAAGCUAUGACACUGAUUUCUAUUAGAACCCUUAACUGUCAGGCCCUGGUUUCAUUGAUCACUGCUGUUUUUAGGGUCUGGGAAGCUAGAGUGGAAGGCUGCUAUUUGGCAACACUAUCCAGAAUGGCAGUGGCACUCUUGAGCAUUCAGUUUUCAGCUGAGCAUUGUGAGAACCACAGGCAGGUCAAGAGUUAAGCAUGUCAAAUUGCAUACACAAAGUAAAAAAGAGGGAGAAAGAAAUGUUACCAGCAUAUUUUUAAACAAUAGACAUGAAAAUGUUAGCUCUUCUGGGUAUGGAAAAAAAUUUCCUUUUCAUACAUAUUGACAGCCAGAGAGGGUUAUUAUUGAGAAUAUGGGUAAAGUUACUGCCAGUUUCUACUGGUACUCGUAUUUAAAAAGAAACUAUGGAAACCAGGAGAAGGAAUAUUAAUUAAGUUCAAAUGUCUCUGCCAGGAGUGGAUGAAUGAAUUCAAUGAAGCAACCUGUUGGGUUGUAAUUCAGUGUUUUGUUAGCAAUUUAAUAGAAUGCAGAACUUGUCAUAAGUUAACACUAUGUUUUAAUAAUCUUAUUAAAAGGUUAUUUCUUGGUAAAAUUAGCCCCAGAAUGUGAUAUUGUUUUGAAUUUAAAGAACCAUUAUAUAUUUUCUUUCUUUUUCACAAUUUUAAAUAGCCACUGUCUUGGUUAUUAAUAAAAAUAUGUAACACAUUUAUGUGUUAAAAAGCACAAAAUAAUAUAGACAAAUGUGUCUUUUUCACUCUAGAAUGUCUCCCUGCAGCCCCUAAAUAACUAAAGAAACCUGUUAUUAGUUUCUUGUAUAUAGUUUAGAGAUAUUAUUUGCACAUCUCUAAUACACAUUCACAAAAUCUGUUGUUAUAACUCUUCAAAAGUUCCCUAUUAUACUUAUAUUCAAGGCCCUCUGAUGGUCACAUCUUUGGGGUAUUAUUCACUAAGAACACAUGCCUUCGAAAAAUAUUUUCUAAUAAUGAAAGUAGUAUGGAUGUCUGGAGAGGGUAACGCUAAUAAGAAAAUACAAAAUGAGAAAACUUAUUCACCUGAAUAAACCCAGAGAGUUUAUAAGUAAGGCUUCACUGGUCACUGCAGAGUUUAAAGGAAGUUUCCACUUUACAGUGUGAAUAUGUUGUGGUUGCCUUGGUCCUUAGACUAAUUUGCUUCUUUCUGGUGGGGAGGAUAGCAGUGUUGAGCAAACACUGACUCAACCGAAAAUCAGUUCUAUUUAAAUGUGAAGCUGUGUUCUAAACACAAGCAGAGUCUGCUGAAGGGCUCUAAACAUUAAGCUGCAUGCCUUGCUGAGUUUUAUUCCAAAUAGACAACAGCAGAUGGUAACAAUGCACUUCUCAUAGAUGGUAGGAGGGAGGCAGUCUUGUUUCAAGUAAUACUAUUUCUGGGCGAUAAUCCAAAAUGCGCAGUAGGCAGAAGUUAAAAGGAAGCGCUUGCUUUUAGGUUUUUAAAAUAUAUCCCUUAAUCCUGGGUGAUGAUUGACAAUCAUGAUUUAGAGUAUGAGGGGCCUCUCUUUAAUCUGGCAAGUUUGAUGUUAUUUGCGUAUCUAGUAGGGCUUUUAUUCAACUAAAACUAAGUGGAAGCCUGUGCAAUUGAUGCCUCAUUUCAGAAUUGAUUCCUGGCCUGGUACUCUAUUUACAGAUUAGUAAGUACACAGGAUCCGUCCUCCUCCUCAUCUUUUUGAAAUUUAAAGGCUCUAAAAGGCACAUUUACAAUUAAAAUGUUUCUUGCUGUGUACAACUAUGACCAGGAGAUGACUUUUUUCCCUAGAAUUUAAUUUCUUGAGAAAAGAAGCAGUCUGUGAGAUUAUAAUUCUGAUUUGAUUCUUAAAAUAUAGUAUUAGCCAUUGGCAUUUACAAAUGAUAACAAAUGUUGUUAUUCCUGCCUUCGUGUUGUUUUUCAAGAGUUCUUGGGAGAAAUUUUAGUGAAUUACCUCCAAGACUCCUGUUCCUAUUAAAGGGUUUCUAGGGAAUCUUUUGUAACAAAAAGAUCAAUGUUCAGCCUUUGUAUUCCUGUUAUUUUAUCAUUUUUGACGAUAAAUUUAUUUAAAAGUGCACAUUAUUAAAAUAUAAUUAAGUUAUAAACUUCAAAAGCAAGAUAUAGCUAAGGAAAGGAAGUGUAUGGGAAUAAAAUUUAACAGAUGAAUUUGACAACAGUAACAAUAACAAGUGGUCUUCAUGGAGGCACUUAAGCUCUGAUGUUAAUGUCUCUGUCACAAUUGUGUUAAACAAAGCAAAAUGGCUUAUGAGAAGGAAGAGAGAGCUAUACAUGAAGCCCAAGUGAUUUAGUAUUUGACCUGUGUUCUCAUUAUGAUGUUUUUAGUUAUAUAAUUUGGUGAGAUUUUUUAAGAAGUAAAACAUUCAUUACAGAAAAUUUGGAGAAUACAGGAAAGUAUAAAAAGAAAAUAAACAUUACCCUCAACCCUAAUUUUUUCACAGGCAGUCACUGGCUUGUGAAGUCAUCAGUUUUCUCCCCUUAUCUUGCUUUAAUCCAUAUUUAAGGGCUAAAAUAUACCUCUCACACCCAUCCUGGCUGCUGGGAGGGUGUGGAAGUGUUUAGGAAGGGUCCCUUGCAGCUUCUGGAGUGGGAGUACGUGACGCAAAUUGCUACAGGUUUGGUCUGUUUUGUAGCUGCAUUAGCGGAGCUUUCUUCCCAUAGAAGCCCCAGUAAUGGGAACCUUUGUGUUUGGAAUAUAUUCUAACCUAAUAGGUGAAUGUUGAUAAUACUUCUUUCUAUUAACAUUUCAAAAGCUCAUUUUUGCUGUGGAAUCAUGUGUUUGAUAUUUAAAGUCUAAUAAAAUAAAUCCAAGUGA